RNAcentral lists this ribosomal RNA (482 nucleotides) under uncultured bacterium. RNAcentral's name for it is "partial 16S ribosomal RNA". It matches the Rfam family "Bacterial small subunit ribosomal RNA", at positions 30 to 507 of the family's 1533-position model. The record is from RNAcentral.
AUUGAACGCUGGCGGCAUGCCUUACACAUGCAAGUCGAACGGUAACGGGCCUUAGGGUGCCGACGAGUGGCGAACGGGUGAGUAAUACAUCGGAACGUGCCCGAUCGUGGGGGAUAACGAGGCGAAAGCUUUGCUAAUACCGCAUACGAUCUACGGAUGAAAGCAGGGGACCGCAAGGCCUUGCGCGGACGGAGCGGCCGAUGGCAGAUUAGGUAGUUGGUGGGAUAAAGGCUUACCAAGCCCACGAUCUGUAGCUGGUCUGAGAGGAUGAUCAGCCACACUGGGACUGAGACACGGCCCAGACUCCUACGGGAGGCAGCAGUGGGGAAUUUUGGACAAUGGGCGCAAGCCUGAUCCAGCCAUGCCGCGUGCAGGAUGAAGGCCUUCGGGUUGUAAACUGCUUUUGUACGGAACGAAAAGCCUUCGUUUAAUACAGGAGGGUCAUGACGGUACCGUAAGAAUAAGCACCGGCUAACUACGUG